GGGAAGGAGGAGGAAUAGAACCUGUAAAUGUUGAGGGAACUGUGGAUGAUUGGCCUUCAAAACAACCACACUGGUGAGAGAGAGAGAGAGAGAGAGGGGCUAGCGAUAGAGGGAAGCUGAAUAGUCUACCGUGAGGCAUGGCUUCUACUGAAAUGGAUCUACCUGCUACCAUGAAAUUUUGGAAUUGGAUUUAUACUUAUGACAGAGAAAGUGAGUUCUUCGGGACUCAUCUACGGGGGAUGUUCGAUGGUUCUCACAAGACUGGCAAAAGAGUUCAGUUUCAGAUGCGUCCUUGAUUUGUUUCUGAGCUUCUCUAUUUUACUUUCUGGGAUCUUCUGGUUCCUUCCUUACCAUGCAAUGGAGUCUGGGUUCGAUGCAACAGAGGCAGUUAGGCUCAGUGGUAAAUCUUUUUCCUUUUUAAUUUUCACUCUAUUUUUUAUUUUUAUUUUUUGAUUUAAUUAGGGUUUUCUGAUGUUUUGAACAGAUGGGUAUUUGAAAUUUUUGCAUAUUGGUAUUUAAUAGUGUGGUGUGUUACUUUGGAUUGUAAUGGGAUUCUUAGAAAUGGUGGUGUAAAGUUCCAUUUCUUCGAAUCUUUCUUUUCACAUUCUCGGCCAUUUUUUUUACCUUAAUGUUUUUUAUCACUUUCUUUCCUUUUUUCUUACGAUUUUGGUUUUCUUUUGUUAUUUCCAAUUUAUCUUCAAUGGUCUAAUUAUUAUUUUUUUCUUUCUGA
Ziziphus jujuba (common jujube) is the source of this 730-nucleotide long non-coding RNA. RefSeq lists it as uncharacterized. The transcript is spliced from 2 exons. NCBI's taxonomy places the organism in Eukaryota, Viridiplantae, Streptophyta, Magnoliopsida, Rosales, Rhamnaceae. The record is from RefSeq and is a predicted model, not a curated record.